CACGUAGGGGGCGAGCGUUGUCCGGAUUUAUUGGGCGUAAAGAGCUCGUAGGCGGCUCGGUAAGUCAGGUGUGAAAACUCUAGGCUCAACCUGGAGACGCCACCCGAUACUGCUGUGACUAGAGUCCGGUAGGGGAGCGUGGAAUUCCUGGUGUAGCGGUGAAAUGCGCAGAUAUCAGGAGGAACACCAGCGGCGAAGGCGGCGCUCUGGGCCGGAACUGACGCUGAGGAGCGAAAGCGUGGGGAGCAAACAGG
This 254-nucleotide ribosomal RNA is filed under the name uncultured bacterium. Its description in RNAcentral is "partial 16S ribosomal RNA". It matches the Rfam family "Bacterial small subunit ribosomal RNA", at positions 524 to 776 of the family's 1533-position model. The record is from RNAcentral.